UGUGGCUCAGUGGUAGAGCACUUGCCUCUCAUGCAUGAGACCCUGGGUUCGAUCGAUCCUCAGCA
Molecule: transfer RNA, 65 nt
Filed under: Ictidomys tridecemlineatus (thirteen-lined ground squirrel)
Lineage: Eukaryota; Metazoa; Chordata; Mammalia; Rodentia; Sciuridae
Description: Spermophilus tridecemlineatus (thirteen-lined ground squirrel) tRNA
Rfam family: tRNA
About the family: Transfer RNA (tRNA) molecules are approximately 80 nucleotides in length. Their secondary structure includes four short double-helical elements and three loops (D, anti-codon, and T loops). Further hydrogen bonds mediate the characteristic L-shaped molecular structure. tRNAs have two regions of fundamental functional importance: the anti-codon, which is responsible for specific mRNA codon recognition, and the 3' end, to which the tRNAs corresponding amino acid is attached (by aminoacyl-tRNA synthetases). tRNAs cope with the degeneracy of the genetic code in two manners: having more than one tRNA (with a specific anti-codon) for a particular amino acid; and 'wobble' base-pairing, i.e. permitting non-standard base-pairing at the 3rd anti-codon position.
Source: Rfam by way of RNAcentral